This 376-nucleotide unclassified non-coding RNA is filed under the name soil metagenome. RNAcentral's name for it is "partial contains 5.8S ribosomal RNA, internal transcribed spacer 2, and large subunit ribosomal RNA". The stretch from base 1 to 120 matches the Rfam family "5.8S ribosomal RNA", at positions 35 to 154 of the family's 154-position model. The record is from RNAcentral.
GAUGAAGAACGUAGCGAAAUGCGAUAAGUAACGUGAAUUGCAGAAUUCAGUGAAUCAUCGAAUCUUUGAACGCAUCUUGCGCUCCUUGGUAUUCUGAGGAGCAUGCCUGUUUGAGUGUCAUUAAAUUCUCAACUACACUGACUUUGAAUUGGUGUGGCUUGGAUUUGGGGGGAAAAUUGUUGUGGGCUUUUUGUAUAGUCUGCUCCCCUGAAAUUGAUUAGCGGUACCUUUGUGGAACUGUCUACAGGUGUGAUAAUUAUCUACAUCUUAGACAUCUGCUGGAAUGCUGCUUUCUAAACCUUACUUGUAUUGACAAUCUUGACCUCAAAUCAGGUAGGACUACCCGCUGAACUUAAGCAUAUCAAUAAGCGGAGGA